UCAAAAUAUUUACGUGGAUGGUUAAUUUGUAAAUGCCAAUGUCUUGGGUGGUCAUACUAAUAAUUUCUAUAAUGAAAAAGAAAGAUAAAAAUAAAUUUUAAUUCUUCGCUCGGUUGAUAAAUCAUCUUUAAAUAUUGCAUUAUUAUUUUGUUGUAAUAUCUAUAUUAACCUAAUAAUUUUUGCCUUCAUUUUCUGAAAAAAAGUAGAAUUGGAGCAAACAUGAAGAACAAGAAGUUCAAGAAAGCCACAAGUGAGCCUUCCAUUGGUUCGCUUCCACUGAACUGCUCGGAGAAAAUUUUGCUAGAAGCUAUUUUCGACUCUUCAUCACCUAUCAGUGAUAUUAAAUAUUUUUGAAAUUGUACAAGAAUUUUCAUGCAACAUGUUCAUCAAAAAGACUAGGAAGGUAAAUGGUUAUUGAAGAUUGGAGCAUGUAUUGACAUGACAAACAAGGAUAUUUAAGAUUUCUUCAGAGUUUUGCUCUUUUCUUGCUUUGAUUGGAGGAGAUGUUGAUUCAAGAAAGAAUUGAUAUUGACUUACAUCAUCUUCAAUUAGGUUCAAGUCGAGGGCGCGUUUCUUCCAAACAUAUCGUGGGAUUAGUGUUGCUAUGUGAAGAGACAACUCGCUUGCUUGGUUUUGAUCUUUUGAAUGAAAUAUCAAAUAAAAUAAAUAAGUGUCCACAACAAGCUCCAAAGUUCUUCUUGAAAAUGAAAUGACAAAAAUGACAUGUAUCACCAUUUAUUUAUUACAACAGUUUGUUUUGUGGAAAACUAACUUCGGAAGCUGAUAAUCUGAUAAUUGACGACUUAGUGAAGACCACGCAACAAGAAGACUUUGUAGUGACGCUCGUAAA
Molecule: long non-coding RNA, 850 nt
Organism: Phalaenopsis equestris
Lineage: Eukaryota; Viridiplantae; Streptophyta; Magnoliopsida; Asparagales; Orchidaceae
Exons: 3
Source: RefSeq, a predicted model, not a curated record